NNNNNNGACCACAGACUGAGGAGAAUUGGGCAUCCCGUCCGCUCUGCCAUACACAAGCCUCAGAUCGGCAGAUUAGUAGUUGGGUGGGUGACCACCAGCGAAUACCUGCUGUCGUAUGUU
RNAcentral lists this ribosomal RNA (120 nucleotides) under Glarea lozoyensis ATCC 20868. Lineage: Eukaryota; Fungi; Ascomycota; Leotiomycetes; Helotiales; Helotiaceae. The record is from RNAcentral.